GUUUAUAUAGAUUAAUACCUUAAAUCACAAAGCUGUUAACUUUGAAAUGCUUGUUGGGCUAUAAACG
This 67-nucleotide transfer RNA is filed under the name Euryhaliotrema johni. RNAcentral's name for it is "tRNA-Asn". The record is from RNAcentral. Lineage: Eukaryota; Metazoa; Platyhelminthes; Monogenea; Dactylogyridea; Ancyrocephalidae.